GGGGAUAUAGCGCAGCUGGGAGCGCACCUGACUGGCAGUCAGGGGGUCACGAGUUCGAAUCUCGUUAUCUCCA
This 73-nucleotide transfer RNA is filed under the name Candidatus Moduliflexus flocculans. It matches the Rfam family "tRNA". Rfam says of the family: Transfer RNA (tRNA) molecules are approximately 80 nucleotides in length. Their secondary structure includes four short double-helical elements and three loops (D, anti-codon, and T loops). Lineage: Bacteria; Candidatus Moduliflexota; Candidatus Moduliflexia; Candidatus Moduliflexales; Candidatus Moduliflexaceae. The record is from Rfam by way of RNAcentral.